AGGCACGUAGCUCAGUUGGUUAGAGUACCACCUUGACAUGGUGGGGGUCGUUGGUUCGAAUCCAAUCGUGCCUACCA
This 77-nucleotide transfer RNA is filed under the name Neisseria meningitidis. RNAcentral describes it as "tRNA-Val(gac)". It matches the Rfam family "tRNA". Rfam says of the family: Transfer RNA (tRNA) molecules are approximately 80 nucleotides in length. Their secondary structure includes four short double-helical elements and three loops (D, anti-codon, and T loops). Lineage: Bacteria; Pseudomonadati; Pseudomonadota; Betaproteobacteria; Neisseriales; Neisseriaceae. The record is from RNAcentral.